CAACUGCUGAGAUAAGGAGGUACCGAUAUCUCCAUGUGGAUCUCCCCUGUCAGAUGGUCCUCCUGAUGGCAUAGCUUAAAAUCAGUUAUUUAUACAUGAUAAAAAAUUAAAGUAAAUUAAAUAUAAAAAAUUAUACUACGUAAAAUCAAUCUAUCAUGACAGGAGAUGAUGUGCCUGCCUCAUCUCCGCAUGGGCCCUCCCGCGUGAUCAUUCUCCUGGUGCCAUGCUUGUAUCAAACAAUAUAUUAGAGACAAUAUAAUAUGGACAAAAAUUACAUCGAUACUAAAUGAUAUAUGAAAUAUAAGAUAUAUGAGUUUUUUUAAAAAAAUUACAUAUUAUUAUUCAAUGUCUGUAUCUUUAUCAGAAGGAUUAUCAAUAUCUUCAUCGUCAUAAUCCAUCAAUAUAUAAUCUUCCUCAUCAUUACUAAUGAAGUUGUCAUCAUUAUCGUCAUCAUCCUCCGACAUGUUCAGAUUUAAUUCACUG
RNAcentral lists this long non-coding RNA (483 nucleotides) under Elaeis guineensis (African oil palm). Its description in RNAcentral is "long non-coding RNA (EGUI_LNC002868)". Lineage: Eukaryota; Viridiplantae; Streptophyta; Magnoliopsida; Arecales; Arecaceae. The record is from RNAcentral.